Molecule: ribosomal RNA, 253 nt
Filed under: uncultured bacterium
Lineage: Bacteria
Description: partial 16S ribosomal RNA
Rfam family: Bacterial small subunit ribosomal RNA
Source: RNAcentral
UACGUAGGGUGCAGGCGUUAAUCGGAAUUACUGGGCGUAAAGCGUGCGCAGGCGGUUUGCUAAGACGGGUGUGAAAUCCCCGGGCUUAACCUGGGAACUGCGCUUGUUACUGGCAGGCUUGAGUGUGGCAGAGGGGGGUGGAAUUCCACGUGUAGCAGUGAAAUGCGUAGAGAUCCGGAGGAACACCAGAGGCGAAGGCGGCCUACUGGGCUGCACCUGACGCUGAGCCGCGAAAGCCAGGGGAGCGAACGGG